GGUGGAGUGUCCCGAGCGGCAAAGGGGGCGGACUGUAAAUCCGCUGACUACGUCUUCGUUGGUUCGAGUCCAACCUCCACCACCA
Molecule: transfer RNA, 85 nt
Filed under: Rhizomicrobium palustre
Lineage: Bacteria; Pseudomonadati; Pseudomonadota; Alphaproteobacteria; Micropepsales; Micropepsaceae
Also listed under: 1 other name
Description: tRNA-Tyr
Rfam family: tRNA
About the family: Transfer RNA (tRNA) molecules are approximately 80 nucleotides in length.
Source: RNAcentral